GCUUCACACAACAGGUUUAAUGAGAUUGGCGUUGUAUAAGGAGGUCGUACAUCAAUUUUUUUGGGUCCAAGAUUAUUGUACAACAGUUUUAAGGAUUUGUCUGUUGUCUGAAUGUAAAAAAAAAUUCCCCCUCACCUUGCUCAAAUUUGGGUCGAAAUUUUGACUCACCUUGCACAACAGUAUUGUUGUAUAUGUUGUAUGAGAGUAAGUUGCAAAAUAACAUACAACGCAUUUUUUUGUUUCCGUUGUGCAAGUUUGGAAGAAAAUCACAUGUACCCCAAAAUGUGAGUGAGUAGCCCCAAAAAGGCCAAUAUUUGAGUGAAAUGCUGGUACACGAUAGUAAGCUCCUACAACGGAAUGACUUAUUUUUGUUGUGUGAAUGUGCGAUGGUAAUCCUAGGCGGGAAAAAUGAGUUUGUCCCUUUGCACUAGGCGGGAGAUUUGCUAGUUGGAUCUAUAAGCUGAAGUUUCAUUGUAUAUUAUCAGACAACCAAAAUUAUUUUGUGUGUUGUCUGAAUUGGUUAUACAAAUAAAAAAUUAAACUUAAAUGCACUUUGUCUACCACACUCUGACAAGAAUUAAUAGCUAGGGCAUACAUACUGGGUUCCCAUCUUCGACAAAACAGCAAAACUUAAAUGUACUUGGCCGUUUUCAACACUGGGGUAGCUAGUCUUCGACAAAAACCUGAAAACUCAUAUCUCAAAGCAAAACCCCCGCCGUGUUCUUCUCUUUACGGAUCGAACCCAUCUUCAUCUCCAAACCCAUCUUCUUCUCAUAACCCAUCUUCUUAGAACACCAUCUUCUGAAAACACGGGAUUAGGGUUUUCAAUUUGGGGAUUUGGAAGAGGAGGAAAAGGGGGGAGGGGGGAGUUUCUCGGUACAUUAAUCGAUAAAUCUGGAUGAAGAAGAUGAGGAGGAAGACGAAGACUCAACAAUAACAAGAACAACGAGCUGGGUUACUUGGAACAGUAGCGGAAGAAGAUCAUCGUCGAUAUCCUCUGCCCGAGGUGGUCUGUUUGUCAAGGGAGAAAUCAAAGUUCUAAGAACAACAAAUCUGGGUCGAAAUUUGCUUCUGAUUCUAAAAGUGGAUCUCGAAAGAAAAUCGAAUGUCAAUGCUGUAGGAUACCAUUCCCAUUUUGUUGAACUUCAGAGUCAAGGCAGCCAUUAAUUACCAGACUCUCUCUCCAAAGGAUUUAGCAAAGUCUGCUUUCAGAAGGGGGCUGGUCGAACUUGCUGGUAUUUUUUUCUUCUGUUUGCAGAGUGCCCUAGCAAUGAAGUUCAUCAGCCUUUGGACCUUGCUCUUGUCUUCGUUGGUACAGAGUUGCAAUCUUCGGAUAUUUCUGCAAGCAAACAUGCUGAUCCAGCUCUUGUGGACUUACUCAAAGUCUCUUUUACACAAUCAAAUUUCUCCAUGGCAUUUCCCGAUAUUGCUGCAUCAGAGAAGGAUGCUAUGGAAAGUUCUUUAGUGUCAGGGAUGUCAGAGAUCUGUGGGCAGAAUUUUGGAUUCAAUAAUGUUCGUUUCUCGGAGUCAUGCUCUAUGGACAGUGAUAAUGUUCAAAAGCUUUCAGACCUGCAUUCGGUCCAUCUUCUUACUUCUGUCAUUUUGUCAUGUUGCUCAUGGGUAGUGUGGCUUUUGAUGUGGGAGUAUUGUAUGCAGCUUCUUGAAACAAGUUGAUGUGGUGGCAGAAGCAGAAGAAAAAAAGAGGAGCAGCAGGAGCAAGCAUUAGUCGUGGCCGAAGUGGGCAAGCAAUCAUAAAUAGUCCAAUAGACAAUGAUCCAUUUCUAGCACACUAAUGUCUUUGUCCCGGAUGCAAUGUUAAACAAUAAAUUGUCACAAAUUCAUGAUUUUGUGGAACAAUGACUAAUACGAAUUGUAUCUUGGUGGAUCCAAUGUACUUUGA
Long non-coding RNA from Rosa rugosa (rugosa rose), 1900 nucleotides. RefSeq lists it as uncharacterized. The transcript has 7 exons. Lineage: Eukaryota; Viridiplantae; Streptophyta; Magnoliopsida; Rosales; Rosaceae. The record is from RefSeq and is a predicted model, not a curated record.